This 1141-nucleotide unclassified non-coding RNA is filed under the name Hevea brasiliensis (rubber tree). Lineage: Eukaryota; Viridiplantae; Streptophyta; Magnoliopsida; Malpighiales; Euphorbiaceae. The record is from RNAcentral.
GUGAAAUUAUGGGUAUGAAGAGAUGGGUAACGAUAGGUGUAGUAGUAGCGAUAAUGGCAUCAAUGAAAGGAUUAAGCAGCCAAUUGGGUUUCGAAAAAGAGAUAGCAAUUCAAUGGUUAAAGCUAAUGUCCGAUCGAUUAGGAAAUUGGGCGAUCCCUGCUUAUGUUGCUCUUCAUACAAUUACACUUGCUCUUUGUCUUCCUUAUGCCGUCUUCUUUGAAGCUGGUGCUUCUCUACUUUUUGGCUUCUUACCUGCUGUCUUGUGCGUCUUUUCUGCUAAAAUUCUUGGGGCUUCGCUCUCUUUCUCCAUCGGCAGGUUUGUGUUUCACAGUUCCAGCUCUGCUGUUGAGUGGGUGCAAAACAACAAAUACUUCCAUGUGCUUUCAAAGGGUGUUGAACGAGAUGGAUGGAAAUUUGUACUCCUUGCCCGUUUCUCACCUAUACCGUCUUAUGUCAUCAACUAUGCCUUAGCAGCCACCAAUGUUAGGUUCUUCCAGGAUUUCCUACUUCCAACAGCAAUUGGCUGCCUGCCAAUGAUCCUACAGAACACAUCUAUUGGCAGUCUAGCCGGUGCUGCUGUAUCAUCCGGCUCUGGAUCUAAUACAUCCAAUUUAUGGUCAUACAUCUUUCCUCUACUUGGUAUCUUAGCAAGUAUCCUCAUUUCUUUGCGGGUGAAAAAGUAUUCCAAGGAUAUCUCAGUCGCUGAGACAGUUCCUACAGAUGAUAACAACAACAAUAGAUUGACUGGAAGGGUAAAAGGAAAAGACUCAAAGAAACAGUAAUAUACUAUAUAUAGGUUUUUCAUUCCUUCUUUCCCUCUUUAAUAUCCCCCUGAUGGUGAUCGAAAGGUAGGGAUUUAUCGAGCCAUGGCUGACAUAACCCGUGGUCCCGUUGCUAAGGAAGAAAAUGAAUUGCGAUGAGAACAUGGUGGUUUUUCCAAAAGAAGUUGAUAAUUUAUUUUAUCUCUUCCUACAUUAUGGUUAAGAAAUUUGAUGUUUGUGUAGACAAAAUCAAUUCUUGAAAUCAAAGAGAUACUGUGACCGUCAUAUAGAGAUUUAAGCUUAAUGGAUAAAUGGUUUAUAUUCUCCUUCACUAUGCAUUUUGUUUUAGCUCGAAUGUUUUAUUCAUGUAGUUUUGUUGC